UACGUAGGGGGCAAGCGUUAUCCGGAUUUACUGGGUGUAAAGGGAGCGUAGACGGCAGUGCAAGUCUGGAGUGAAAGGCGGGGGCUCGACCAUUGUAUGCAUUGGAAACUGGUAGACUUGAGUGCAGGAGAGGAGAGUGGAAUUCCAUGUGUAGUGGUGAAAUGCGUAGAUAUAUGGAGGAACACCGGUGGCGAAAGCGGCUCUCUGGCCUGUAACUGACACUGAGGCUCGAAAGCGUGGGGAGCAAACAGG
RNAcentral lists this ribosomal RNA (252 nucleotides) under uncultured bacterium. RNAcentral's name for it is "partial 16S ribosomal RNA". It matches the Rfam family "Bacterial small subunit ribosomal RNA", at positions 524 to 776 of the family's 1533-position model. The record is from RNAcentral.